RNAcentral lists this ribosomal RNA (1930 nucleotides) under human gut metagenome. RNAcentral's name for it is "bacterial LSU rRNA". It matches the Rfam family "Bacterial large subunit ribosomal RNA", at positions 23 to 1996 of the family's 2925-position model. The record is from RNAcentral.
GGUGGAUGCCUUGGCACUAAGAGCCGAUGAAGGACGUGAUAAGCUGCGAAAAGCUUCGGGGAGGAGCAAAUAUCCAUUGAUCCGGAGAUAUCCGAAUGGGGAAACCCGGCAGAGAAGACCUCUGUCAUCCAUACGCCAAUCCAUAACGUAUGGAAGGGAACCCGGUGAACUGAAACAUCUAAGUAGCCGGAGGAAAAGAAAGAAACAUCGAUUCUGGGAGUAGCGGCGAGCGAAACCGGAGGAGCCUAAACCAGCGUGCGUGCAUGCUGGGGUUAAGGACUGCAACAAGUGACCGGAAGGUUAACAGAAUGGUUUUGGGAAAGCCAGCCAUAGAGGGUGAAAGCCCCGUAUGUGAAAACCGGAAGGAGCGGCAGGAUCCAGAGUACUACGAGACACGUGGAACCUUGUAGGAAAUCGGGGGGACCACCCCCCAAGGCUAAAUACUCCUUAGUGACCGAUAGCGCAUAGUACUGUGAAGGAAAGGUGAAAAGGACCCCGGGAGGGGAGUGAAAGAGAACCUGAAACCCUGUGUUUACAAGCUGUGGAACAUCAUUAUUCGAUGAACCGCGUACUUUUUGUAGAACGGUCCGGCGAGUUACGCUUACUGGCAAGGUUAAGCACUUCAGGUGCGGAGCCGUAGGGAAACCAAGUCUUAAGAGGGCCUUAAGUCAGUAGGAGUAGACCCGAAACCGGGUGAUCUAUCCAUGUCCAGGUUGAAGCUGCCGUAAGAGGUAGUGGAGGACCGAACGCACAUCCGUUGAAAAGGGUGGCGAUGAGGUGUGGAUAGGGGAGAAAUUCCAAUCGAACCCGGAGAUAGCUGGUUCUCCUCGAAAUAGCUUUAGGGCUAGCCUCGUAUUAGUCUAGUGGAGGUAGAGCACUGAAUUUCCUAGGGGGCGUCAAAGCUUACCGAAGAAUAUCAAACUCCGAAUGCCAUAUAGAUGAUGUACGGGAGUCAGACUGCACGAGAUAAGUUGGGCAGUCAAAAGGGAAAGAGCCCAGACCGCCAGCUAAGGUCCCAAAGUGUGUGUUAAGUGGAAAAGGAUGUGGGAUUUCGAAGACAACUAGGAUGUUGGCUCAGAAGCAGCCAUACAUUAAAAGAGUGCGUAAUAGCUCACUAGUCGAGAGGUCCUGCGCCGAAAAUGUCCGGGGCUGAAACACAACACCGAAGCUGCGGAACCCGCAAGGGUUGGUAGAGGAGCAUUCUUAAAGGAACGAAGCAGUACCGAAAGGAGCUGUGGACUUUUAAGAAGAGAGAAUGCCGGAAUGAGUAGCGAGAGUAAGGUGAGAAUCCUUACGGCCGAAUAUCCAAGGUUUCCAGGGUAAAGCUGAUCUGCCCUGGGGAAGUCGGGACCUAAGGCGAGGCCGAGAGGCGUAGCCGAUGGACAACAGGUUGAGAUUCCUGUACUACAGUAUGACAGAACUGUGGGGACGCAGAAGGAGAGCACUACCUGGAAUGGAAUCCAGGGGCAAGCACAGGAGGGGUACGGCUGGAAAAACCGCCGUGCAACCCAAAGGUGUGACGCAUACCGAACUAAAGUAGGGAAAUGUGUGAGCCGGCUGCCGAGAAAAGCCGCUAUUGUUUGUACUGUACCCGUACCGUAAACCGACACAGGUGGAUGAGGAGAGAAUCCUAAGGCCGACGGAAGAAGCAUUGCUAAGGAACUCGGCAAAAUGACCCUGUAACUUCGGGAGAAAGGGUGCCUCGAAAGAGGCCGCAGAGAAUAGGCCCAAGCAACUGUUUAGCAAAAACACAGGUCUAUGCAAAACCGCAAGGUGAAGUAUAUGGGCUGACGCCUGCCCGGUGCUGGAAGGUUAAGGGGAGAUGUCAGGAGACGAAGCAUCGAACUUAAGCCCCAGUAAACGGCGGCCGUAACAAUAACGGUCCUAAGGUAGCGAAAUUCCUUGUCGGGUAAGUUCCGACCCGCACGAA